RNAcentral lists this ribosomal RNA (962 nucleotides) under uncultured bacterium. Its description in RNAcentral is "partial 16S ribosomal RNA". It matches the Rfam family "Bacterial small subunit ribosomal RNA", at positions 8 to 943 of the family's 1533-position model. The record is from RNAcentral.
AGAGUUUGAUCAUGGCUCAGAACGAACGCUGGCGGCGUGCCUGAGACAUGCAAGUCGUGGGAGAAAGUCGGGGCAACCCGGCGAGUAAACCGGCGCACGGGUGAGUAACACGUGGACAACCUGCCCUGGAGACUGGGAUAACCCGUCGAAAGACGGGCUAAUACCGGAUAAGACCACGAGGGGUUUGCCCCUUGGGGUAAAAGGUGGCCUCUACUCCUGCAAGCUAAUACUUCAGGAAGGGUCCGCGUCCUAUCAGCUAGUUGGUGAGGUGACGGCUCACCAAGGCGAAGACGGGUAGCUGGUCUGAGAGGAUGGUCAGCCACACUGGGACUGAGACACGGCCCAGAGUCCUACGGGAUGCAGCAGUCAGGAAUAUUGCGCAAUGGAGGAAACUCUGACGCAGCGACGCCGCGUGGGUGAUGAAGGCCUUCGGGUCGUAAAGCCCUGUCGGAGGGGAAGAAAAGCUUGCUGGCUAAUAUCCAGCAGGCCUUUGACGGUACCCUCAAAGGAAGCACCGGCUAACUCCGUGCCAGCAGCCGCGGUAAGACGGAGGGUGCAAGCGUUGUUCGGAUUGACUGGGCGUAAAGGGCGUGUAGGCGGUUGGUCAAGUCCGAUGUGAAAGCCCGAGGCUUAGCCUCGGAAGUGCAUCGGAAACUAGCCAGCUGGAGCGCGAUAGAGGAGGGUAGAAUUCCUGGUGUAGCGGUGAAAUGCGUAGAUAUCAGGAGGAAUACCGGCGGCGAAAGGCGGCCCUCUGGAUCGUUGCUGACGCUGAGACGCGAAAGCGUGGGGAGCAAACAGGAUUAGAUACCCUGGNAGUCCACGCUGUAAACGAUGGGUACUAGGUGUUCGGGGUAUUGACCCCCUGAGUGCCGCAGUUAACGCAUUAAGUACCCCNNNGGGGNCUACGNCNNCANGGNNAAACUCAANGANNACGGGGGCCNGCANAGCNGGNGNNNCAUGCU